RNAcentral lists this ribosomal RNA (249 nucleotides) under uncultured Saprospiraceae bacterium. RNAcentral describes it as "partial 16S ribosomal RNA". It matches the Rfam family "Bacterial small subunit ribosomal RNA", at positions 355 to 601 of the family's 1533-position model. The record is from RNAcentral. Lineage: Bacteria; Pseudomonadati; Bacteroidota; Saprospiria; Saprospirales; Saprospiraceae.
UAAGGAAUAUUGGUCAAUGGUGGGAACACUGAACCAGCCAUCCCGCGUGCAGGACGAAGGCCCUCUGGGUCGUAAACUGCUUUUGUCAAGGAAGAAACGAGUGGAUUUAUCUGCUCCUGACGGUACUUGAAGAAUAAGCACCGGCUAACUCCGUGCCAGCAGCCGCGGUAAUACGGAGGGUGCGAGCGUUAUCCGGAAUCACUGGGUUUAAAGGGUGCGUAGGCGGCGUGCUAAGGCAGGGGUGACAUC